RNAcentral lists this non-coding RNA (867 nucleotides) under Hyloscirtus pacha (Morona-Santiago treefrog). Its description in RNAcentral is "partial 12S ribosomal RNA". It matches the Rfam family "Bacterial small subunit ribosomal RNA", at positions 320 to 1522 of the family's 1533-position model. The record is from RNAcentral. Lineage: Eukaryota; Metazoa; Chordata; Amphibia; Anura; Hylidae.
UGUGAGAACGCCCUUAGUCCCUAUUAUGGACAAGGAGCUGGUAUCAGGCGCAAUAAUUAGCCCAAGACACCUAGCCAUGCCACACCCACAAGGGAAUUCAGCAGUAAUUAAUAUUGAAUAUAAGCGUCAGCUUGAUUCGGUUAAAGUAAAAAGGGCCGGCAAAUAUGGUGCCAGCCGCCGCGGUUACACCAUAUGACCCAAAUUGAUCCCCUACGGCGUAAAGCGUGAUUAAAGUUACUAUAUAUUGUAGUUAAACUACUAAUAGGCUGUAAUACGCUUUUAUUUAGGAAGCUCAAAAACGAAAGUUACUGCAUGCAAAACAACUUGAAUUCACAACAGUUAGGUUACAAACUAGGAUUAGAUACUCUACUAUGCCUAACUAUAAACUUUUAAUUUACACCAAAUAUCGCCUGGGAACUACGAGCAAAGCUUAAAACCCAAAGGACUUGACGGUACCCCACAUCCCCCUAGAGGAGCCUGUCCUUUAAUCGAUACUCCACGUUUAACCUCACCAUUUUUAGCUAAUCAGUCUGUAUACCUCCGUCGUCAGCUUACCACGUGAGCGACUUAAAGUAAGCUAAAUGUUUAUUUUACAUCAAUACGUCAGGUCAAGGUGCAACUAAUAAAAUGGAAAGAGAUGGGCUACACUCUCUAACAUAGAAUACACAAAAGACUAACUGAAAACUAGUUGUAAGGUGGAUUUAGAAGUAAAAAAAAACUAGAGAGUUUUUUUUAACACGGCACUGGGGUGUGUACACACCGCCCGUCACCCUCUUUGAAGCCAUCAUACUAGUAUUUAACAAACAAACGCAUAGUAGAAGAGGUAAGUCGUAACAUGGUAAGUAUACCGGAAGGUGUGCUUGGAAA